ACAGAUAGAGGUGUCGGAACGAUUGGUGGAGUGGUGAAAUGCGUUGAUAUCAAUCGGAACGCCAAAUGAGAAGUCAGGCAACUGGAUCUGUUCUGACGCUGAGGCACGAAAGCGUGGGUAGCGAACGGGAUUAGAUACCCCGGUAGUCCACGCCGUAAACAAUGUGCACUAGGUCGAGGGCGUUCUGACGCGACUCUCGGCCGAAGCGAAAGUGUUAAGUGCACCGCCUGGGGAGUACGGUCGCAAGGCUAAAACUCAAAGGAAUUGACGGGGGCUCACACAAGCGGUGGAGCAUGUGGCUUAAUUCGAAGCAACGCGAAGAACCUUAUCCUAGGUUUGACAUACACGGAUUAGCUAUAAGAAACUAUAGUGACACCUUCGGGUGGAACGUGAACAGGUGCUGCAUGGCUGUCGUCAGCUCGUGCUGUGAAGUGUCGGGUUAAGUCCCUUAACGAGCGCAACCCUUAUCGUUAGUUGCUAGCAGGUAAUGCUGAGGACUCUAGCGAGACUGCCGGUGUUAAACCGGAGGAAGGUGGGGAUGACGUCAAGUCCGCAUGGCCUUUAUGCCUAGGGCUGCACACGUGCUACAAUGGCAAGUACAAAACGAAGCAAUACCGCGAGGUGGAGCAAAUCGCAAAAACUUGCCCCAGUUCGGAUUGUAGGCUGCAACUCGCCUACAUGAAGUUGGAAUCGCUAGUAAUCGUGGAUCAGCACGCCACGGUGAAUACGUUCCUGAGCCUUGUACACACCGCCCGUCAAGUCAUGGAAGCUGGUAGUGCCUUAAGUCGCCACGAUUCAGUGGUGCCCACGGCAAGACUGGUGACUGGGACUAAGUCGUAACAAGGUAGCCGUAGGGGAACCUGCGGCUG
This 869-nucleotide ribosomal RNA is filed under the name SAR86 cluster bacterium SAR86D. RNAcentral describes it as "bacterial SSU rRNA". It matches the Rfam family "Bacterial small subunit ribosomal RNA", at positions 647 to 1520 of the family's 1533-position model. Lineage: Bacteria; Pseudomonadati; Pseudomonadota; Gammaproteobacteria. The record is from RNAcentral.